AGUGGAUCGCCCUCCCUGCCAAAAGGAAGGCUUUGUCCACAUAGAUGCAAGGUUUGAAGGCUGCGUUGAGGUGGUCGACGACACGUUCGUGUGCAUAAGUGGGCCGUAUGAAAAGGACGAUGGCAACAAGGCUGCUUACUUUUGCCGCAAGAACUUUUACGCCCUCAGCGUCAUGGUGGUAUGUGACCAACCCUGCCGAUGACCGCCCUCGCACUCGGGGCCCGUGCACGACGCCUUUAUGUGGAAGACAUGCACCGUGAGCCAGGACUGGGCAGUGGACGCCGUGGCCAGGUGAUAGUGCAUACUCGCUUCAACCUUGGCUGCUUAACCCCAUCCCUGGAGCACAUCCUGCAGAAUCCUCUGCUGCCCGAUUCCACCGCACCCACUCUUCACUGCGGUGCGUCGUAUAACUGUGCACUGGAGUCCUCAAGGCCCACUUUCGGUGCUUGCAGAGGUAC
Molecule: long non-coding RNA, 458 nt
Organism: Rhipicephalus sanguineus (brown dog tick)
Lineage: Eukaryota; Metazoa; Arthropoda; Arachnida; Ixodida; Ixodidae
Exons: 3
Source: RefSeq, a predicted model, not a curated record